AGGAGCCAGUUACCUCCUGCAGAUUCCAGCGUCGACGAGGUUGAGAAGACCGUUCAGUCCGAGGCCGUUGACUCCAGUUCACAAGAUUGGAAGGCGAGGCUAAAGAUACCACCACCUGAUACACGCUACAAAACAGAGGAUGUGACGGCCACAAAAGGAAAUGAAUUUGAGGACUAUUUUCUGAAACGUGAAUUGCUUAUGGGAAUCUAUGAGAAGGGGUUUGAAAGACCAUCCCCUAUCCAGGAAGAAAGCAUACCAAUUGCUCUUACUGGAAGUGAUAUUCUUGCUAGAGCUAAAAAUGGAACUGGGAAAACAGCA
RNAcentral lists this unclassified non-coding RNA (318 nucleotides) under Hevea brasiliensis (rubber tree). Lineage: Eukaryota; Viridiplantae; Streptophyta; Magnoliopsida; Malpighiales; Euphorbiaceae. The record is from RNAcentral.